Molecule: long non-coding RNA, 310 nt
Organism: Mastomys coucha (southern multimammate mouse)
Lineage: Eukaryota; Metazoa; Chordata; Mammalia; Rodentia; Muridae
Exons: 2
Source: RefSeq, a predicted model, not a curated record
UUCCAGCAGUGAUGUAAGCAGGUUCCAUUGCUACCUACUAAGCAUUGGGCCACCCUUCUGGCACAACAUUUCAAUUACAAACAACAUGCUUCCUGUUUGUAUGCAGCCUGGCUAUGUUCAGAAGACUCAAAUCGGAUGACUUGGAUUAGGAUGUCCCAUUAGAGGAGAUGUUUCCUAACAUGUGGAUGUGGAAAAGCAGGAUAAUCACUUGGGAGAAGUAUCAGGAUGGCUCCUCAGAGUUGAUCUGCAUGGAACUUUUAGGGUGUUCCCAGGCAAUUAAUAAAGAGCUUUGCUGUGACAGCAAUGAGGA